UACGGAGGGGGCUAGCGUUGUUCGGAAUUACUGGGCGUAAAGCGCACGUAGGCGGCUUUGUAAGUUAGAGGUGAAAGCCCAGGGCUUAACCCUGGAAUUGCCUUUAAGACUGCAUCGCUAGAAUUGUGGAGAGGUAAGUGGAAUUCCGAGUGUAGAGGUGAAAUUCGUAGAUAUUCGGAAGAACACCAGUGGCGAAGGCGACUUACUGGACACAUAUUGACGCUGAGGUGCGAAAGCGUGGGAGCAAACAGG
Molecule: ribosomal RNA, 252 nt
Filed under: uncultured bacterium
Lineage: Bacteria
Description: partial 16S ribosomal RNA
Rfam family: Bacterial small subunit ribosomal RNA
Source: RNAcentral